AUUGACAAGACCCACAAGGCAGCUAUAACAAUGAGAAACUUCUUUAAAUCUUUUCCAGAUGCAGUAUCACGUAAGACUGCAAAACCUCGGUUGAUUUCGAAUGUCAGUGCUGAAGCAAUCUGCAGGAAUGGCUCUUCUGGAAGAUGAACUUGUGGGAUGCGAGGUGGGGUCUUAUUGAUAAAUGUAUGAGCAUUGGACCACAGAA
RNAcentral lists this unclassified non-coding RNA (205 nucleotides) under Hevea brasiliensis (rubber tree). The record is from RNAcentral. Lineage: Eukaryota; Viridiplantae; Streptophyta; Magnoliopsida; Malpighiales; Euphorbiaceae.